UGCCAGCCGCCGCGGUAAUACGAAGGGUGCAAGCGUUACUCGGAACUACUGGGCGUAAAGCGUGCGUAGGUGGUUCGUUAAGUCUGCCGUGAAAGCCCCGGGCUCAACCUGGGAAUGGCGGUGGAUACUGGCGGACUAGAGUGCGGUAGAGGGUGGUGGAAUUCCCGGUGUAGCAGUGAAAUGCGUAGAGAUCGGGAGGAACAUCUGUGGCGAAGGCGGCCACCUGGACCAGCACUGACACUGAGGCACGAAAGCGUGGGGAGCAAACAGGAUUAGAUACCCUGGUAGUCCACG
This 294-nucleotide ribosomal RNA is filed under the name uncultured bacterium. Its description in RNAcentral is "partial 16S ribosomal RNA". It matches the Rfam family "Bacterial small subunit ribosomal RNA", at positions 506 to 799 of the family's 1533-position model. The record is from RNAcentral.